CUUCCUUCCUCUUCAUCUCUCUCUCUUCCUUCCCUCCCUUGAUGCCUUCCCUCCCUCCCUCCUCCUCGCCCCCUCCUUCCUUUCUUCCUUUUUCUUUUCAUCACCCUUCCUCCUUUCCUGAAUCCUCCCUUUUAUCUCACUUUCCCUAGCUUCUAUCUUCCCUUUAACAGUAUUUGUUGAACCCUGUGCUGGAUGCCAGAUCCAGCAAAUCCAGCACCUUGGUAAUUGAAGGAUUGUAACUUAAAAAACAACAACAACAGAAAACUGAUGAUAUGUAAAGGCCUCCAAUACCUUAAUUAAAACAACAUCAACAAAGUAUGGAGCAGAGUGUAUUUGAGAUCUUACCUAGGUCCCAAAGUAUUCACAGCAGUGAAAAGUGAGUAAGAACCUGAAGCAGAGAACACUUCACAGAAAAAAGUUCCUGGGAGAUAGAAACCUCAACUCAUCUACUUUUUUAUUCCCAGCCCAAGGAUACUGCCUGGCACCUAAGAGGCACCAGAAAAUUCUAGUUGAAAUGAACAUUUUAGAGUCAGGCAGAGUCUAAAAUGACCCUUAAAGAUUCCUGCCUCCUGGUGUCACUUCCUCCAGUUGACCGUGGACUGGCCUAGAGACUUACUUCUGACCACAGAAUAUGGCAAAAGUGAUGAGAUGUCACUUCUGUGAUUUGGUUCCAGAAGAUUGUGACUUCCGUCUUGUUAGCCAACUCUAUUGUCUUCUUGGCUUGCCUGCUUCAGUGAAGCAAGCUGCCCUUUUGGAUAGGCUCACGUGCAAGGAAUGGAGGGCCGCCUCUAACCAACACCCCGCAAGAGCUGAGGCUGUCAGUCCAGCAGCCCUUGAGACAUUGGUCCUGCCAACAACCACCUGAGCUUCAAAGUGAAUCCUUCCUCAGUGGAGCAUUCAGAUGAGACCUCAGCCCUGGCUCACACCUUGACUACAGACUUGGAGAGACCCCAAAGCAGAAGACCCAGGGAAACUAUGCUCAGACUCAUGACCCACAGGAACUGUAAGAUAAUAAAUGUAUGUUUACUUAAA
Mesoplodon densirostris (Blainville's beaked whale) is the source of this 1032-nucleotide long non-coding RNA. RefSeq lists it as uncharacterized. The transcript is spliced from 2 exons. The record is from RefSeq and is a predicted model, not a curated record. NCBI's taxonomy places the organism in Eukaryota, Metazoa, Chordata, Mammalia, Artiodactyla, Ziphiidae.